RNAcentral lists this ribosomal RNA (84 nucleotides) under Moringa oleifera (horseradish tree). RNAcentral describes it as "partial 5.8S ribosomal RNA". It matches the Rfam family "5.8S ribosomal RNA", at positions 73 to 154 of the family's 154-position model. From Rfam's summary of the family: 5.8S ribosomal RNA (5.8S rRNA) is a component of the large subunit of the eukaryotic ribosome. Lineage: Eukaryota; Viridiplantae; Streptophyta; Magnoliopsida; Brassicales; Moringaceae. The record is from RNAcentral.
UGCAGAAUCCCGUGAACCAUCGAGUCUUUGAACGCAAGUUGCGCCCGAAGCCAUCAGGCCGAGGGCACGUCUGCCUGGGUGUCA